RNAcentral lists this microRNA precursor (2304 nucleotides) under Manduca sexta (tobacco hornworm). The stretch from base 1 to 75 matches the Rfam family "mir-31 microRNA precursor family". The record is from RNAcentral. Lineage: Eukaryota; Metazoa; Arthropoda; Insecta; Lepidoptera; Sphingidae.
UGGGAAGGCAAGAAGUCGGCAUAGCUGUUUGAAAAUGAUAUACGGCUGUGUCACUUCGAGCCAGCUCAAUCCACCGGCUUUCUGCAUAAAGAAGAUUUGCGGACGCUGCCGUAACGUGAAAAUUCGGAUCGCUCCCGUAGCGGCGCGACUCCGGCCGGGAGAGGGCGCAUUGACAGCUGUCACUGGGCACUAUUUCGCUUUCUUCGCGGCCGGACGUGGGAGGAAAUCGUUUAUUUUUAUCACACACGACGAUGUUCCCGUAGAGUGCGACCGGCUGUGUACGUGCGUGACGAAACGAUCGAAAACAAGACGACAAAAUGCCGAACGAGGAGGUGUUGGGUCCGCGGAAGACGAUGUUCGUACUAGUGAUUGUUGUGGGAUGUUUCGCGGUGCUGUGGCCCAGGAUUCUGUCGCCGCUGAUCUUGGGCCACUCGCGGGACCAGCUCAAACCGAACGCGUUCGACCGGGAGGCAGCUGUAAAACAAGAGCGUCCUCUGAACCGCGGCGCAGGGCCGCAUCCAGCACUGCGAGAGCGGGGCCGCGCGAUUCCUCAGGGCGUGGCCCCCGCGAGACCCGCGACACCGAUGCCGCCCCACGUUCGGGUACGAUCCUCCCCGCUAUCAGUGUACUAUGAGCUGGACAUCAAGCCACCACCGAUCCCGGGCAUGCGGCCCCCGCUCGGCUCGCCCGGGGGUCCGGUGCCCACGCCCAAGUCGUCCAUGGGGUUCGUCAUGCCGAUCUACACGAUAUGCAUCAUAGUGUUCUUCGUGUACACACUUAGCAAGAUCCUGUUCAAGCGCACCGCGUCCCCCUACGAGCCUGUUAGUCCCGACCCCCACUUCAGGAGCAGGGUGUUCCGCGACGACUCCAGGACGUCGCCCGACAAGCUCGGGGAUGUUGAACUGGAGGCGCUGCGAGCGCGGCUUGCGGAGACUGAGCGCGCCAUGCAAAGGAUCGUCGGCCAACUGGCUCAGCGCGACGCGGAGGCCCAGGAUGAGCAGGCUCGCCCGUACACGAACGGUACAAUACUUCACAACACCGGCCCGGUGCAUAUCGUCGCCAGCGAAUACCAGGAAGUAUCCAAGGAAAAGACUCCUGAACCUCAGAGGGAAGUGCCAGAACCUUCACCUGAAGUGAAGGAACCUGCCCCUGAACCUGAAAAGCCUCUGUCAAAAGAAUCUUUAGAGACGAAAGAGUCUGAGGAAUUAGAGGCUGAAAAACAAGAAGAAUUGGUUCAAGAAAUACCUGCAACACAAUCUGAAGAAGCAGAGACGGACGAUGUUAAAGAAGAGAAGGGUCCAGAAGAAAAUGACUUAAAACUCGUUGCUGACGAUGAAGUGGACGAAAAUGGUGGCGAAGCUAAAUUCGAUAAAGAAGAAUCGGGUUCAGAGCCAGAGUUAAUAGAAAUUAAUAAUAAAGAGGAUGAACUGAUUAAAUUAACAAACGAUGACGUAGAAAGCGAUGACUACGUCAAAGUGGUACAGGAUUUCUUGAACGAGGAAGCUAAAAUAGACGUGAAAGAAGAGAAACAAUCGACUCCGGAUCUCCUGGAAGUAGCUAUUAAAGAGGACUCGCCUGAUAAACCUGAGGAUGACCAAGAAAAUGCUAGUGUAAAGAUGGUGGUGAGCGGUAAAAUGACUUUGUCACUCAUACAGGACGCACCGAGAGACACUCCUGAGAAGGAUCCAGAAUCAACAGUGGAUGAUUUCACAACAGCCAGUGCAAUCACUCAACCCGCCGCUGAUAAACAAGUUGAAGAAGAGUCCGACGAAGAAAUAGAGAUCGAAGAAGAAAUAGAAGUGGAAGAGAUCGAGGAAGAGGAAGAAGUUGAGGAGAUUGAGGAAGACGAAGAGAACGAACCGGUGGAGGCGAAGAAACCAGAAGCAAAGGAACCAGUCAAAGUGCAAGAAGUAAAGGAAGCUGUUAAAGUACAGGAAGAAGUAAAACAAGCAGAAGAAGAUUCCGAAGAGGAGGUAGAAGUAAAUGAAGAUGAGGAACCAAUACAAGAUUCGAAAUUUGAACCGGUUAAAGAACUAGAUGCCGAUAAAGAAGAAGAAUAUUCUGAGGAAGAAAUUGAGGAAAAUGAGGAACCAGUGAAAGAGUCAGUUAAGGUAAAGGAACCGGUGAAAUUAAAAGAGCCAGUUAAAGGAAAACCAUCUGUAGAACAUUCAGAAGAUGAUAAGGAACAGAAGAAAGCGAAAGGAGAUAAAGAAUGAACUGAUAGGAAUUAACUUGUAGUGAGAGAAUGUUUGGUGGUUCUGUAAAGAAAAAUAUUAAACAAGUAAAAUGGAUUCAAAUAAAAAU